GGUGCUAUAGUGUAGCGGUUAUCACUCGGGAUUUUGAAACUGUAUGUCGUUGUCUUCCCGGAACCCAGGUUCGAACCCUGGUAGCACCU
Molecule: non-coding RNA, 89 nt
Organism: Flammula alnicola
Lineage: Eukaryota; Fungi; Basidiomycota; Agaricomycetes; Agaricales; Strophariaceae
Source: the annotation of a GenBank genome assembly